Molecule: ribosomal RNA, 253 nt
Filed under: uncultured bacterium
Lineage: Bacteria
Description: partial 16S ribosomal RNA
Rfam family: Bacterial small subunit ribosomal RNA
Source: RNAcentral
UACAGAGGGUGCGAGCGUUAAUCGGAAUUAUUGGGCGUAAAGCGCAUGUAGGUGGUUUUAUAAGUUUGAUGUGAAAUCCCUGGGCUUAACCUGGGAACUGCGUUGAAUACUGUAAAACUAGAGUCGGACAGAGGGUCGUGGAAUUUCCGGUGUAGCGGUGAAAUGCGUAGAGAUCGGAAAGAACACCAGUGGCGAAGGCGGCGACCUGGGUCCAGACUGACACUGAGGUGCGAAAGCAUGGGGAGCAAACAGG